Molecule: transfer RNA, 72 nt
Filed under: Camelus bactrianus (Bactrian camel)
Lineage: Eukaryota; Metazoa; Chordata; Mammalia; Artiodactyla; Camelidae
Also listed under: 2 other names
Rfam family: tRNA
About the family: Transfer RNA (tRNA) molecules are approximately 80 nucleotides in length. Their secondary structure includes four short double-helical elements and three loops (D, anti-codon, and T loops). Further hydrogen bonds mediate the characteristic L-shaped molecular structure. tRNAs have two regions of fundamental functional importance: the anti-codon, which is responsible for specific mRNA codon recognition, and the 3' end, to which the tRNAs corresponding amino acid is attached (by aminoacyl-tRNA synthetases). tRNAs cope with the degeneracy of the genetic code in two manners: having more than one tRNA (with a specific anti-codon) for a particular amino acid; and 'wobble' base-pairing, i.e. permitting non-standard base-pairing at the 3rd anti-codon position.
Source: Rfam by way of RNAcentral
GAGGGUACAGCUCAGUGGUAGAGUGCGUGCUUAGUAUACAGGAGGUUCUGGGUUCAACCCCCAGUACCACCA